Molecule: ribosomal RNA, 329 nt
Filed under: uncultured Deferribacteres bacterium
Lineage: Bacteria; Pseudomonadati; Deferribacterota; Deferribacteres
Description: bacterial SSU rRNA
Rfam family: Bacterial small subunit ribosomal RNA
Source: RNAcentral
GAUGAACGCUGGCGGCGUGCCUAACACAUGCAAGUCUCAGGAGAAUGGGAUUCGCAAGAGUCCCUAGUAAACUGGCGCAAGGGUGAGUAACACGUAGGUAAUCUGCCCCACAGUGUGGAAUAACACUGGGAAACCGGUGCUAAUACCGCAUGUUGUUCCGAGUUCACAAGGUUUGGAACAAAGGUGCUUGCACCGCUGUGGGAUGAGCCUGCGGCCUAUCAGCUAGUUGGCAGGGUAACGGCCUACCAAGGCUACGACGGGUAGCUGGUCUGAGAGGACGACCAGCCACACUGGCACUGAGACACGGGCCAGACUCCUACGGGUGGCAG